GGGCGGGUAGCUUAGGUUGGUUGGAGCACCCGGCUGAUAACCGGGAGGUCGCAGGUUCAAAUCCUGCUUCGCCCA
RNAcentral lists this transfer RNA (75 nucleotides) under uncultured marine group II/III euryarchaeote KM3_102_D05. Its description in RNAcentral is "tRNA-Ile". It matches the Rfam family "tRNA". From Rfam's summary of the family: Transfer RNA (tRNA) molecules are approximately 80 nucleotides in length. Their secondary structure includes four short double-helical elements and three loops (D, anti-codon, and T loops). Further hydrogen bonds mediate the characteristic L-shaped molecular structure. tRNAs have two regions of fundamental functional importance: the anti-codon, which is responsible for specific mRNA codon recognition, and the 3' end, to which the tRNAs corresponding amino acid is attached (by aminoacyl-tRNA synthetases). tRNAs cope with the degeneracy of the genetic code in two manners: having more than one tRNA (with a specific anti-codon) for a particular amino acid; and 'wobble' base-pairing, i.e. permitting non-standard base-pairing at the 3rd anti-codon position. The record is from RNAcentral. Lineage: Archaea; Methanobacteriati; Methanobacteriota.